AACGCGAAGAACCUUACCAAGGCUUGACAUAUACAGGAAAAGCGUAGAGAUACGCUCCCCGCAAGGUCUGUAUACAGGUGGUGCAUGGUUGUCGUCAGCUCGUGUCGUGAGAUGUUGGGUUAAGUCCCGCAACGAGCGCAACCCUCGUCCUAUGUUGCCAGCACGUAAUGGUGGGAACUCAUGGGAUACUGCCGGGGUCAACUCGGAGGAAGGUGGGGAUGACGUCAAAUCAUCAUGCCCCUUAUGUCUUGGGCUUCACGCAUGCUACAAUGGCCGGUACAGAGGGCUGCAAUACCGUAAGGUGGAGCGAAUCCCAAAAAGCCGGUCUCAGUUCGGAUUGAGGUCUGCAACUCGACCUCAUGAAGUCGGAGUCGCUAGUAAUCGUAGAUCAGCAACGCUACGGUGAAUACGUUCCCGGGUC
This 421-nucleotide ribosomal RNA is filed under the name uncultured marine bacterium. RNAcentral's name for it is "bacterial SSU rRNA". It matches the Rfam family "Bacterial small subunit ribosomal RNA", at positions 958 to 1380 of the family's 1533-position model. The record is from RNAcentral.